RNAcentral lists this ribosomal RNA (614 nucleotides) under uncultured Hyphomicrobiales bacterium. RNAcentral's name for it is "bacterial SSU rRNA". It matches the Rfam family "Bacterial small subunit ribosomal RNA", at positions 107 to 756 of the family's 1533-position model. The record is from RNAcentral. Lineage: Bacteria; Pseudomonadati; Pseudomonadota; Alphaproteobacteria; Hyphomicrobiales.
UGAGUAAUGUAUAGGAAUCUACCUAGUAGUACGGAAUAAUUGUUGGAAACGGCAACUAAUACCGUAUACGCCCUACGGGGGAAAAAUUUAUUGCUAUUAGAUGAGCCUAUAUUAGAUUAGUUAGUUGGUGAGGUAAAGGCUUACCAAGACAAUGAUCUAUAGCUGAUCUGAGAGGAUGAUCAGCCACACUGGAACUGAGAUACGGUCCAGACUCCUACGGGAGGCAGCAGUGGGGAAUAUUGGACAAUGGGCGAAAGCCUGAUCCAGCCAUGCCGCAUGAGUGAAGAAGGCCUUCGGGUUGUAAAGCUCUUUUAGUGAGGAAGAUAAUGACGGUACUCACAGAAGAAGUCCUGGCUAACUCCGUGCCAGCAGCCGCGGUAAUACGGAGAGGGCUAGCGUUAUUCGGAAUCAUUGGGCGUAAAGGGCGCGUAGGCGGGUUAGUAAGUUAAAAGUGAAAUCCCAAGGCUCAACCUUGGAACUGCUUUUAAAACUGCUAGUCUAGAGAUUGAAAGAGGAUAGAGGAAUUCCUAGUGUAGAGAUGAAAUUCGUAAAUAUUANGAGGAACACCAGUGGCGAAGGNGUCUAUCUGGUUCAAAUCUGACGCUGAGGCGCGA